This 76-nucleotide transfer RNA is filed under the name Gammaproteobacteria bacterium. Its description in RNAcentral is "tRNA-His". It matches the Rfam family "tRNA". From Rfam's summary of the family: Transfer RNA (tRNA) molecules are approximately 80 nucleotides in length. Their secondary structure includes four short double-helical elements and three loops (D, anti-codon, and T loops). Further hydrogen bonds mediate the characteristic L-shaped molecular structure. tRNAs have two regions of fundamental functional importance: the anti-codon, which is responsible for specific mRNA codon recognition, and the 3' end, to which the tRNAs corresponding amino acid is attached (by aminoacyl-tRNA synthetases). tRNAs cope with the degeneracy of the genetic code in two manners: having more than one tRNA (with a specific anti-codon) for a particular amino acid; and 'wobble' base-pairing, i.e. permitting non-standard base-pairing at the 3rd anti-codon position. The record is from RNAcentral. RNAcentral also lists the same sequence under 2 other names. Lineage: Bacteria; Pseudomonadati; Pseudomonadota; Gammaproteobacteria.
GUGGGCGUAGCUCAGUUGGUAGAGCCCCGGAUUGUGGCUCCGGUGGUCGUGGGUUCAAAUCCCAUCGCUCACCCCA